AGAGAGAGAGAGAGAGAGAGAGAGAGAGAAUGCAAUGGCAUGUCACUGUACUCAUGGAACACACUCUCUCUCAAGGUGCCACGCUGCAGCGUUUAACUGUAAUCUGAUCUCUGCUUAGCACACACACACUCCCUCCCUCCCUCCCUCCCUCUCUCUUUCUCUUUCACACACACACACACACUCACUCUCUCACAGAUACACGGGACUGCUGGAAUAUGACAAACGCUGUGCAAGCAACUCUAUGCAGGUGCAUGAAGUUGACAAAUAAAACAGUCCAUCAGUGAUGACAGGACUGUGAGGGAUGGGAACCCUGUUCUUUCUUUCUUUCUCUCUCCCACACACAUACACACACACACACACACACACACACACACACACACACACACACACACACACACCUGGCAUUAAGGUGUGCUGUCGCCUCACCCAGGUGGGCGCUACAUAGGAGGGGAGGUGUCUCCUCAGCAUGAGAAGCAGGUUGGGGUCAACACACUUCAGCUGAACACUUGACACUUCAUUCUGUACAAUUCUACAUUCUUACCAAACACACACACACACACACACACACACACACACACACACACACGCACAGCUGUGCCGUCACAUCAUCCACGUCAUCCUCUCUUCAUUCUGUACACCUACACAGUUCUCCCACCACUGCCUGUGUGUGUAUAUGUGUGUGUGUAUACGUGCGUGUGUGUGUGUAUGUGACAGAGGCAAAAGCAUAUGGGUGAAGGUGACCGACUGUGAUCAGGUGUGGCAAAGAGGAAAGGCCUGAUAUCACAUUUCAUAUCAAACACACCCACCCACCCACACCCUCACACACACAAAACAAAAACAAAAGAACACUGAUCUGAACAUGAACACCUGUUCUCACACACACACACACACACACACACACACACACACACACACACACACACACACACACACACACACACACACACACACACACACACACACACACACACACACACACACACACACACACACACCUAUCUUCAUUGAUGACCCCUGGUGAGAGUAGCCAGAACACACACCCACAGAGCUGCUGUGUUUUUGUGUGUGUGUGUGAGUGAAGAGAUUCAGGUCUGUGAUGAGGUUAUUAUGGUCUGUGUGUGUGUGUGUGUGUGUGUGUGUACUGGUGGGAUACCCGGCUUUAGUGGCUUUAGUUUAUAUUUGGGCACACAAACACUCACUCUAAAUAGAGGUGAAAGGGUGAAGUUCUGGGGGGUAUUCGUCGUAGCUCGCUAAGCGGUUUAGCGAGCUAAUUUUCAGGCUAAGAUAAAAAACGCCCCUCUUUUUGGUUCGUGGAAGCAACUUUUGAUAAAUCACCAUAGUUACAUAUCGAUUAGCACUAACCUGCUCCAGGGCAGGCUAACUUAAGUGUAGCUGUAUAAGCUUGCCACACCCCCGGAAAAAGGAGGGAUCCCAUUGACCAAGGACUGAUAGGCCUAUUAGAGUUAGAUUAGCGGAGGGAGAGAGUUCUUUGCGAUCGCCAAGAUCCAUUAUUCUUGUAUGAGCGCUACCGAUUCAGCCGACAAUGAAUCAUUAAUUUGCAAAACCUUCUCGAGUCAUUUAUUGCAAACACCACAGUCGAACAUUGACUGUCUUGCGCUUUUUUGCGAGUGGUACAUUUUUGUAGUGUCGGUGAUGCGGAGAACAAAGCACUCAUAAUUAUAUGAGUGUUAUUAGUACACCAUAGCAUAUCAUUAUUGUAGAAAAUUAUUAAGGUGGACUCAUGAUAAGAAUAGAGAGAAAUACAGACAAUUUAUUUUCACUGCUUCAAUUUAUUGCAUUUGUUAUUAAUACAUUUAGUCAUUUUACAGACGCUUUUAUUCAAAGCGACUUCCAAGGAAAUGUAAAACUACAUCGAGGAAGGAGGUGAGGGGAUUUGAACUAGCAACCAUGCAGAUUCAAACCGGUAGAGGAAACCUCUGCACCAGUGGACACUUGCCGUCAGAUAUUCAUACAUAGAUAUCACCCUAUAAAGAUCCCAACACACCUUGCUCUCACAGCGGUGGUGGUGUUGAAUUUUGCCAUGAUUAUGGUCUUGUAUUCUUCAUAAGCGUUCAUGUUCAUCUCCUACUCACCAGCGGAGAAAAAAAGAGCCCUUUUCUUUGAGUUUAGAACCAUUAUACCGUUAGAAAAUCAUGGUUUUGGUGAUCGACCUUUCCUGCCUUUUGAAGUAGGACGUGCAUGCGCAAAUGCCAUGAUAACUUUAGCCUGGUUGAAAUUAACCACAUGAUUAGGAUGCGGAUCAGCCGUUAACAAACCGAUAUUUGCUGUUCUCAAUCAGCUCGCUAAUCUUAACGGGCUAAAAGGCCAAUUGAUUAACUUAGCUUCAAUCCUACGACGAACGUACCCCUGGUGACUCCAACAGAUCUGCCUCUGACUUUAGACAGCUAUAACAAACCAUUGCCCCCAUUUCAGCUGAAAAACAGCAGGGCAUGGGCUCAAAAGAGUUAGAACAUGCCUGACAUUUUGGAUAGGUCAGGAGUCAGUUUUCCUGUUAGAACCAAUGAUUUUGCCAUUUCUACACUACAAAACAAUCCAGGGAUAGCAGUGUACACACACACACACACACUCUCAUGUAAAAAGAGGUGUAUCCGGAGUGGAACACUCCCGGAUAUUCCACAGAUAAUCGGAUGUAUACAAGAGUUUGCCGUUACGCAGAUCAGAAUACUCCUGGAUAUGUAUCAGGUUUGGGGGCCUGCCUACAGCCAUUAGUUGCCAUGGUGAAUAGGUGAAUAAUACCCUGGGGGGGGGGGGGUGCUUGCUAGGGAACAUUUGCAAUUCACACACUCCUCUAGCUCCCUCCCUCUGCAUCCCUCUUUCUCUCACCCUUUCAGUCAGACACGGGUGGUGGGCAGCAGUCUCCAGUGUUGACAGUGAAUCUGGGUGAAUCGCAUUAAAACCCUUUAAAUAACCUUCAUUUGCAAUCUAUUUCUGGGUAGACUGGACACGCCAAGCAGACCACACAUACACCCCGGGGACCAGUGGCCAAAAGACAGGCGGUCAACAGGAGCCCGGGAGGGACAUGCAGAACGGGGGCCAGUGACAAACCCCAAACACAGGACGAUUUGUUAAAAGGGUAGUCAGGGUGUUCCCUGAGAUCUCCAAACCAUGAGGAUGGCACUGAUGCUUAUAACCCAUGACGUCUAAGUCUAUAAGAGGCCAAAUCCAGGUCAAGAGGGCACAGCAGGUGAAUUGCCUAGCCAGUGACUGUAGAAGAAUUGUGUUGUUGACCCAAUGGAUCCAUAUUAAAGGUCCAGUCCUCGAAUUCUGGCAAACGGCUGUUCAGGUUUCAGCUCAGGGUUUGUUGACCCUGUAUAGUUGGUACUAUUUGAAAUCAUUUAGGGUUUGUGGACACUGUAUAGUUGACCCUAUAGUAGUUUCUUUGGGGGGUAGGUGACAUAUGUAUCCCCCAAAGCAAACCAUGUGUACAAUGCCGUUUUUCAUCGCCAUUUUUUUUUAAACGUCACCCAAUUUCACUGGUUACUGUUACAGGGUCACUGUUCAAAGGAGUAGGACAAGGCCCUCUAAUCUUCAUUUUGACCCAUGCACACACAUUCAAACACACACACACACACAACUUUUGUAUGAAAGAAUAUUUGUUUUCCCCCAUACACCCUUAAAGGAGAUAUCCUCCCCUAUGGGACUGCUUUAUAACACACUGUUCUGUUUCUCGAAAGCCUGCAAACAAAGACAAACAAAAAAACACAUACUUUCCUAUUAUCUGAGGGUGCAUUUUCUCUCACGGUGCCUCUCCCCUUCCCCACCCACUCCAUGUCCCUCUCUCUCUCUCACACACACACUCUCACAGGAAUCUCCUUCCCUCCACCCCUAACACUCAUGCAUGCAUGCAUGCACGCACGCGCGCGCACACACACACACACAGUUUAUUUAACGAUAGGGGAUUCCAUGGCAAUCUGAUCUUUGGUCACCCUUCUAGCAGAGUAAAACAGUUACUUCCGCACAGUUGACGGCAGAACGGUAAACAUCCUGCAUGCAAGCACUUUCAACAGCAAACCACCGGCCGCGACAGGACUUCUGUAACACUUCCGAUAACGGAAUAGAGUCUAUUGAAAACUUACACCUUUUCCAAACUCCCGUACCCGAAAUUGCUGCUUUCACUUCAGGUGUCGACACCUUUGACAUUCCGUGGUAUGACAGGGAAACGGAUUCAUUCUCCGUUCCCGAUGGGUCGCUAAGCGUUCAAGGCGAUAAACCGGGACAACCCGCAAGGGAUUAGCCUACCGACAGGCAGGCCAGUCCAGUCAGCCUUUACACCGGACGUCUCCAUCGAAACAAGGUUGUUAAUUAACUGUAUGCCCGUUUGUGUAAUGAAACUAGCACAACAAACGUUCCAAUGGCCUGUUUCUUCCCCCUCCACGCCGCUUUUUCAUUACUCAACAUUCUGUUAUGACAAUAUGUAAAUCUUACGACACCAAAAGACCAUUUCAUCUUUGAGCAACCAAAUUAUGCUACUACCAGCCUCCAAACGGACACAGGCAUAGCCUGCAAGUCAAAAUAAACGACCAAAAAUGCACCUGUGCAGGCAUCCGUAAAACCGCGGCAGACAUUGACAGAGCAGGUUGUAAUACACCUGCCGAUUAGACAUUUGUAAAAGAUAGAUCUAACCUAAACUACCAACAGGUGUCAGUGUCUGUAACUUUCAAAAGUAGCAGUGCUGUAAAGACCACCGCUGCCAAUUCAAAUGUUGGGAAUGAUUGAACUUGAAAUGUUCAUAAACCGGCUGCCGUGGCCAGUCGUUGAUAGUUAAUCCCAUUCCCGUGACUCGGCGGUCACUGCUUCCAGUCAUUAUUCCCUGUUGACACGUUCAAUCGCAAACUAUGACGUGCUCAUUCUCACGCGUGGCAAAACUGUUAAUAUCGGCUACUUUCUCAAACGAUCCACCACGGAGCAAAUGUCUAUUUUAAAAUUCGUCCGCCGAAACUUUUUACCUUGGGUCGCGCUGGUAGACGCGUCGCUUCCAUCCUGAUCCGCCAUUGCUCCUGACGUCAGCUGAGAGGAUUAGCUGUGUGAGGCCACUGGGCAUAAAAAAAAUGUGUGGGAAAAGAGAGCCUCACGCCUGGUGGACAGGUGGGGUAGGUUAGCGACUCCACCUGCUAGAGAUAAAGCCAGGCUACUAGGACAAGUCUCUCAGCCUUUGGCCACACUGCUUACCUCACCGCUUAACGUUACCUGUGCGUAACGGCUACCUCGCUUAACUUCUGCGGCUUGCACGCCUGUCUAUAUUUGUCUAUGUUACUGUUUCCUUUGCUGAGAACCUAACCUGUUAACUUGGGCGUCGAAAUGAAAAGCAAGACGCCCAGCGACCGUCACGCACAGGUGAGGUGAGCGGUGUGGCACGGGCCUCAUACGUCGCUUUGCCACAGGUCUGUGCAGCCUGCUCAUUUGAACCCAGUGAUAGCUAAGAGCUACCUACAUCAAAGGCUCCUAAUGUUAUUAUAGGUGACUGACAACAUGGAAAGGACCCCUACAGAGACAGACCUGUGUCUGAACCAUGGAAAGGACCCCUACAGAGACAGACCUGUGUCUGAACCAUGGAAAGGACCCCUACAGAGACAGACCUGUGUCUGAACCAUGGAAAGGACCCCUACAGAGACAGACCUGUGUCUGAACCUGUACAAUAUGGUUGAGGCGUGAUAAGGCCUGCUGCUGAGACAGCAUGAGAGGCAGACAGGACAGGCAGAUUCAAACACUCUAACCACUCUCAAUCUGACAAACUCUAAUACUAAUAAAGAUAAUAAUAAUGCUACUCCUCCUCCUCCUCCUCCUACUAUUACUACUACU
Clupea harengus (Atlantic herring) is the source of this 5820-nucleotide long non-coding RNA. Lineage: Eukaryota; Metazoa; Chordata; Actinopteri; Clupeiformes; Clupeidae. The record is from Ensembl.